Molecule: ribosomal RNA, 484 nt
Filed under: uncultured bacterium
Lineage: Bacteria
Description: partial 16S ribosomal RNA
Rfam family: Bacterial small subunit ribosomal RNA
Source: RNAcentral
AUUGAACGCUGGCGGCAUGCUUUACACAUGCAAGUCGAACGGCAGCGCGGGCUUCGGCCUGGCGGCGAGUGGCGAACGGGUGAGUAAUACAUCGGAACGUGCCCAGUAGUGGGGGAUAGCUCGGCGAAAACCGGAUUAAUACCGCAUACGACCUGAGGGUGAAAGCGGGGGAUCUUCGGACCUCGCGCUAUUGGAGCGGCCGAUGGCAGAUUAGCUAGUUGGUGGGGUAAAGGCCUACCAAGGCGACGAUCUGUAGCUGGUCUGAGAGGACGACCAGCCACACUGGGACUGAGACACGGCCCAGACUCCUACGGGAGGCAGCAGUGGGGAAUUUUGGACAAAGGGCGAAAGCCUGAUCCAGCAAUGCCGCGUGUGUGAUGAAGGCCUUCGGGUUGUAAAGCACUUUUGGCGGGAACGAAAAGGACUGUGCCAAUACCACGGUUCGAUGACGGUACCCGCAGAAUAAGCACCGGCUAACUACGUG